Molecule: ribosomal RNA, 404 nt
Filed under: Pseudomonas sp.
Lineage: Bacteria; Pseudomonadati; Pseudomonadota; Gammaproteobacteria; Pseudomonadales; Pseudomonadaceae
Also listed under: 3 other names
Description: partial 16S ribosomal RNA
Rfam family: Bacterial small subunit ribosomal RNA
Source: RNAcentral
UGGGGAAUAUUGGACAAUGGGCGCAAGCCUGAUCCAGCCAUGCCGCGUGAGUGAUGAAGGCCCUAGGGUUGUAAAGCUCUUUCACCGGUGAAGAUAAUGACGGUAACCGGAGAAGAAGCCCCGGCUAACUUCGUGCCAGCAGCCGCGGUAAUACGAAGGGGGCUAGCGUUGUUCGGAUUUACUGGGCGUAAAGCGCACGUAGGCGGACUUUUAAGUCAGGGGUGAAAUCCCGGGGCUCAACCCCGGAACUGCCUUUGAUACUGGAAGUCUUGAGUAUGGUAGAGGUGAGUGGAAUUCCGAGUGUAGAGGUGAAAUUCGUAGAUAUUCGGAGGAACACCAGUGGCGAGGGCGGCUCACUGGACCAUUACUGACGCUGAGGUGCGAAAGCGUGGGGAGCAAACAGG